RNAcentral lists this ribosomal RNA (253 nucleotides) under uncultured prokaryote. RNAcentral describes it as "partial 16S ribosomal RNA". It matches the Rfam family "Bacterial small subunit ribosomal RNA", at positions 525 to 777 of the family's 1533-position model. The record is from RNAcentral.
ACGUAGGGGGCUAGCGUUGUCCGGAUUUAUUGGGCGUAAAGAGCGUGUAGGCGGCCAGGUAGGUCUGCUGUGAAAACUCGAGGCUCAACCUCGAGACGUCGGCGGAAACCAUCUGGCUAGAGUCCGGAAGAGGAGAGUGGAAUUCCUGGUGUAGCGGUGAAAUGCGCAGAUAUCAGGAAGAACACCCGUGGCGAAGGCGGCUCUCUGGGACGGUACUGACGCUGAGACGCGAAAGCGUGGGGAGCGAACAGGA